This 491-nucleotide ribosomal RNA is filed under the name uncultured bacterium. RNAcentral's name for it is "partial 16S ribosomal RNA". It matches the Rfam family "Bacterial small subunit ribosomal RNA", at positions 29 to 506 of the family's 1533-position model. The record is from RNAcentral.
AGUGAACGCUGGCGGUAGGCCUAACACAUGCAAGUCGAACGGCAGCACAGUAAGAGCUUGCUCUUACGGGUGGCGAGUGGCGGACGGGUGAGGAAUACAUCGGAAUCUACUUUUUCGUGGGGGAUAACGUAGGGAAACUUACGCUAAUACCGCAUACGACCUACGGGUGAAAGCAGGGGAUCUUCGGACCAUGCGCGAUUGAAUGAGCCGAUGUCGGAUUAGCUAGUUGGCGGGGUAAAGGCCCACCAAGGCGACGAUCCGUAGCUGGUCUGAGAGGAUGAUCAGCCACACUGGAACUGAGACACGGUCCAGACUCCUACGGGAGGCAGCAGUGGGGAAUAUUGGACAAUGGGCGCAAGCCUGAUCCAGCCAUACCGCGUGGGUGAAGAAGGCCUUCGGGUUGUAAAGCCCUUUUGUUGGGAAAGAAAAGCAGCAGGUUAAUACCCCGCUGUUCUGACGGUACCCAAAGAAUAAGCACCGGCUAACUUCGU